RNAcentral lists this ribosomal RNA (520 nucleotides) under uncultured Acaulospora. RNAcentral describes it as "SSU rRNA". It matches the Rfam family "Eukaryotic small subunit ribosomal RNA", at positions 569 to 1090 of the family's 1831-position model. The record is from RNAcentral. Lineage: Eukaryota; Fungi; Glomeromycota; Glomeromycetes; Diversisporales; Acaulosporaceae.
AGCAGCCGCGGUAAUUCCAGCUCCAAUAGCGUAUAUUAAAGUUGUUGCAGUUAAAAAGCUCGUAGUUGAAUUUCGGAAUCUGUCCAUCGGUCGGGCUUUAUUGUCCGUACUGGUGUGGUGGGUUCUUACCUUCUGAAUAACCAGCAUGCCAUUUAUUUGGUGCGUUGGGGAAGCAGGACUAUUACCUUGAAAAAAUUAGAGUGCUCAAAGCAGGCUAGUGCCUGAAUACAUUAGCAUGGAAUAAUAAAAUAGGACGGCAUGGUUCUAUUUUGUUGGUUUCUAGGAUCACCGUAAUGAUUAAUAGGGAUAGUUGGGGGCAUUAGUAUUCAAUUGUCAGAGGUGAAAUUCUUGGAUUUAUUGAAGACUAACUUCUGCGAAAGCAUUUGCCAAGGAUGUUUUCAUUAAUCAAGAACGAAAGUUAGGGGAUCGAAGACGAUCAGAUACCGUCGUAGUCUUAACCAUAAACUAUGCCGACUAGGGAUCGGACGAUGUAAUUUUUAAUGACUCGUUCGGCGCCUUA